RNAcentral lists this ribosomal RNA (468 nucleotides) under uncultured bacterium. RNAcentral describes it as "partial 16S ribosomal RNA". It matches the Rfam family "Bacterial small subunit ribosomal RNA", at positions 28 to 507 of the family's 1533-position model. The record is from RNAcentral.
GACGAACGCUGGCGGCGUGCUUAACACAUGCAAGUCGAACGGCAAGGCCCUGCUUUUGUGGGGUGCUCGAGUGGCGAAGGGGUGAGUAACACGUGAGUAACCUGCCCUUGACUUUGGGGUAACUUCAGGAAACUGGGGCUAAUACCGGAUAGGAGCUCCUGCUGCAGGGGGGGGGUUGGAAAGUUUCGGCGGUUGGGGAUGGACUCGCGGCUUAUCAGCUUGUUGGUGGGGUAGUGGCUUACCAAGGCUUUGACGGGUAGCCGGCCUGAGAGGGUGACCGGCCACAUUGGGACUGCGGUACGGCGCAGACUGCUACGGGAGGCAGCAGUGGGGAAUAUUGCACAAUGGGCGGAAGCCUGAUGCAGCAACGCCGCGUGCGGGAUGACGGCCUUCGGGUUGUAAACCGCUUUCGCCUGUGACGAAGCGUGAGUGACGGUAAUGGGUAAAGAAGCACCGGCUAACUACGUG